GUAGGUGGCACUGUAAGUUGGUAGUGAAAGCGUUCGGCUCAACCGAAUAAACAUUAUCAAAACUGCAGAGCUAGAGGAUGAGAGAGGUUAUUGGAAUUCCUAGUGUAGGAGUGAAAUCCGUAGAUAUUAGGAGGAACACCGAUGGCGUAGGCAGAUAACUGGCUCAUUCCUGACACUAAGGCACGAAAGCGUGGGUAGCAAACGGGAUUAGAUACCCCGGUAGUCCACGCUGUAAACGAUGGAUGCUAGCUGUAUUCGGUAUCGACCCCGGAUGUAGCGAAGCUAACGCGUUAAGCAUCCCGCCUGUGGAGUACGGUCGCAAGACUAAAACAUAAAGGAAUUGGCGGGGACCCGCACAAGCGGUGGAGCGUGUUGUUUAAUUCGAUGGUAAGCGAAGAACCUUACCCAGGCUUGACAUCCUUGGAAGCUCUACGAAAGUAGAGUGUGCUUUUAGAGCCAAGUGACAGGUGAUGCAUGGCCGUCGUCAGCUCGUGUCGUGAGAUGUUUGGUUAAGUCCAUCAACGAGCGCAACCCUUGUAGUUAGUUGAAUUUUUCUAGCUAGACUGCCCUGGUAACAGGGAGGAAGGAGGGGAUGAUGUCAGGUCAGUAUUUCCCUUACGUCUGGGGCUACAAACACGCUACAAUGGCCGGUACAAAGGGCAGCCAAGUCGCGAGACGGAGCAAAUCCCAUCAAAGCCGGUCCCAGUUCGGAUAGCAGGCUGAAACUCGCCUGCUUGAAGUCGGAAUCGCUAGUAACGGUAGGUCAGCUAUACUACCGUGAAUACGUUCCCGGGUCUUGUACACACCGCCCGUCAAACCAUGAAAGUCGCCAAUACCUGACGUGCUGCCUCGCGCAGCCCUAAGGUAGGGGAGAUGAUUGGGGUU
RNAcentral lists this ribosomal RNA (885 nucleotides) under uncultured Candidatus Saccharibacteria bacterium. RNAcentral's name for it is "bacterial SSU rRNA". It matches the Rfam family "Bacterial small subunit ribosomal RNA", at positions 571 to 1482 of the family's 1533-position model. Lineage: Bacteria; Candidatus Saccharimonadota. The record is from RNAcentral.